RNAcentral lists this ribosomal RNA (478 nucleotides) under uncultured bacterium. RNAcentral describes it as "partial 16S ribosomal RNA". It matches the Rfam family "Bacterial small subunit ribosomal RNA", at positions 28 to 523 of the family's 1533-position model. The record is from RNAcentral.
GACGAACGCUGGCGGCGUGCUUAACACACGCAAGUCGAACGGUAAGGCCCUUCGGGGUACACGAGUGGCGAACGGGUGAGUAACACGUGGGUGAUCUGCCCUGCACUUCGGGAUAAGCCUGGGAAACUGGGUCUAAUACCGGAUAGGACUCCUGCCUGCAUGGGUGGGGGUGGAAAGCUUUUGCGGUGUGGGAUGGGCCCGAGGCCUAUCAGCUUGUUGGUGGGGUGAUGGCCUACCAAGGCGACGACGGGUAGCCGGCCUGAGAGGGUGACCGGCAACACUGGGACUGAGAUACGGCCCAGACUCCUACGGGAGGCAGCAGUGGGGAAUAUUGCACAAUGGGCGCAAGCCUGAUGCAGCGACGCCGCGUGAGGGAUGACGGCCUUCGGGCUGUAAACCUCUUUCAGCACAGACGAAGCGCAAGUGACGGUAUGUGCAGAAGAAGGACCGGCCAACUACGUGCCAGCCGCCGCGGUAA